This 413-nucleotide ribosomal RNA is filed under the name uncultured bacterium. RNAcentral describes it as "bacterial SSU rRNA". It matches the Rfam family "Bacterial small subunit ribosomal RNA", at positions 945 to 1359 of the family's 1533-position model. The record is from RNAcentral.
UUUAAUUCGAAGCAACGCGAAGAACCUUACCAGGUCUUGACAUCCUCUGAAAACCCUAGAGAUAGGGCUUCUCCUUCGGGAGCAGAGUGACAGGUGGUGCAUGGUCGUCGUCAGCUCGUGUCGUGAGAUGUUGGGUUAAGUCCCGCAACGAGCGCAACCCUUGAUCUUAGUUGCCAUCAUUAAGUUGGGCACUCUAAGGUGACUGCCGGUGACAAACCGGAGGAAGGUGGGGAUGACGUCAAAUCAUCAUGCCCCUUAUGACCUGGGCUACACACGUGCUACAAUGGACGGUACAAAGAGCUGCAAGACCGCGAGGUGGAGCUAAUCUCAUAAAACCGUUCUCAGUUCGGAUUGUAGGCUGCAACUCGCCUACAUGAAGCUGGAAUCGCUAGUAAUCGCGGAUCAGCAUGCCG